This 484-nucleotide ribosomal RNA is filed under the name uncultured bacterium. Its description in RNAcentral is "partial 16S ribosomal RNA". It matches the Rfam family "Bacterial small subunit ribosomal RNA", at positions 30 to 507 of the family's 1533-position model. The record is from RNAcentral.
AUUGAACGCUGGCGGCAGGCCUAACACAUGCAAGUCGAGCGGAUGCAGGGAGCUUGCUCCUGGAUUCAGCGGCGGACGGGUGAGUAAUGCCUAGGAAUCUGCCUGGUCGUGGGGGAUAACGUCCGGAAACGGGCGCUAAUACCGCAUCCGUCCUGAGGGAGAAAGUGGGGGAUCUUCGGACCUCACGCUAUCAGAUGAGCCUAGGUCGGAUUAGCUAGUUGGUGGGGUAAAGGCCUACCAAGGCGACGAUCCGUAACUGGUCUGAGAGGAUGAUCAGUCACACUGGAACUGAGACACGGUCCAGACUCCUACGGGAGGCAGCAGUGGGGAAUAUUGGACAAUGGGCGAAAGCCUGAUCCAGCCAUGCCGCGUGUGUGAAGAAGGUCUUCGGAUUGUAAAGCACUUUAAGUUGGGAGGAAGGGCAGUAAGUUAAUACCUUGCUGUUUUGACGUUACCAACAGAAUAAGCACCGGCUAACUUCGUG